Molecule: long non-coding RNA, 2871 nt
Organism: Aquila chrysaetos chrysaetos
Lineage: Eukaryota; Metazoa; Chordata; Aves; Accipitriformes; Accipitridae
Exons: 7
Source: RefSeq, a predicted model, not a curated record
ACAAUCUGUGUUCACAGUCAGAAUGUGCUAUAUGUAAUACAGGUUGCUUUUACUCAGGCUUAAAAGGGGAUUAAACAUUCUCAUGAAAGCUGAGCACUGCUUGCUCAGAGUAAAGGAAAAAGAAACACUCUUCAUUGCAUUUCAGCCUGCACCUGUAUCUAAGUUACUGUUUAUCAUAAAGAGAAGGCAUCAGUCACCAGUUUUUUGUACUGGGAGGCAGCCUGGGAUAAAUAACAAAUCCUGUAAUUAGGCGCCAAUAGAAUCUAAUUGACUUACGUUAGUCUUCAAGCUGAAAUCUAGCCUUUCUCUCUUGUCAUGGCAUGGAGCAUCCUUUGUUUAAUGAACACUGAAGGGAAAUCGAGUGAGGUAAGAAAAAAUAGCUCUUCUGAAUGGAUGCAGCCUUGUGCAAGUGUUUGAAGUUGUUAUUUUAAGUGCUUAUUUUAGCGACUUUUGAGCUGAGCAUUUAGAAUAUAUAGAGUAGCAUUUAGGAAAAAUGUUAAUGUGGUUGCUUACUUUAACAUGAGCUGCAGCUCUGCCAGCAAAGAUGAGACAUGCCAUUUAAGGAACACAAGCUUUGAGUGAAGUUUUUACUCGACUUUAUUUAGAAACUUGCUGGAGUGCACCGGAUGCUGGGGGAAACCAGAACACACUUUUUGGAUUGUCAGACCAAAGGCAGGAAGGUUCCCACAGAGCCCUCCUCCUUAUGUAGCUUCUGUUUCUUAUUUAGAUUUUGUUUUUUAAUACCCAAGAGCUUUUAGUGGUGUUCUGACAAUUGUGGCCUGGAAAUUUGUCUAAAUUAAAGCAGGUUUUGUUUGUUUACUUAAAAGUGCUAACAGACUCAGACAGUCCCACAGCAUUUUUCAGGGCUUACAUCAUUCUAAAAUAGAUUCAAUUGAUUCAAAACAAAUUUGACAAAAAAAAAAAAUUUUCUUUGCCCACUUGAUGUAUUUGUAUCUACACGAAAAGAACAGCUGAGUCUUGGCAGGUAUGCUGAGUGUAGUAUCUGGAAUUGAUAUGAAAUAUCAAUUAAGAAGGUUAUUUUAGUUGCUGGAAGGUACAAGAGAACACAAGGAGUUAAACAAGCUAGUCUGAAGAUGUGAGACUAAAUGCAGGAGAGGUUGGGAGCCAGAUCCUCAGCUAAUGUGAGUAAAUGUGAGUUCCACUGAGGGCAUAUCAGAUGAAGGGCAGCUCCCAUACUGUUUAGCUUCUUUUUUUGGAUGAUUUGAGGUUUUAUGAAUCCCCACGUAAAGAAAGAUGUGAAGAGCCAGGUAUGCCUUCACAAACUGUCUGAAAAGUUGAGGAUGAUCAGUUGAGUCAUGGAAGUUUUCUUCACAUUUGUUCAUUGCAGCUAUAUGAUACAGCAGCUGUAUUACAACACGUAUAAAAAAUACAAAUUAACAUCAAACCCUUAUCCACAUUUAUUUAUCACAUAAUUAAACACAGGAUCACAGUGUUUUUAACUCUAGUUUUGCCUUCCCAGACUCUCAGUCAGGCCCCAGGAAAAGCACAUGAAAACUGCUGUGAGAGGAGGAAGCUACUUUGCAGUCCAGGAGCGCUUGCUGUGCUACUCCUACCACUUCACUGCUGGUUUUCUUGAGGACAGAUGCAUUAGCUCAAGUGCCGUGAGGUACUAGAGCCGCGCAGAAAGGAGAGAUGGCUAAGCAGAGGAUCUCGGUGCUCCAGAGGGUUAAAUCCUGGGGUGCUCCAACAGUGGUAGGACUAACCUCCUCUGUAGUCCCAGGAUAGAGGGGAGGAGUGUGACAGGCAUAUGGAAGUGCCCGUUUCUCCACUGACCGCAGAGGGAGCAUCAGGAGAUUGUUCUCAUGGAGUUGAAAUUAGCUUUUGAAGGUAGCCACCUCUCUCUUUCUCAUUCAGAGAAAUGUCAUCUGCUGUUGGUGGCGUGUCCUGUGGAAAAGUGAGAGACUGAAGGAAGAAGGAUCUUGGUGGGUACACAAAAUCUACCUGAAGAGCCUUACGCUGCUUGUGGGUGCUCAGGCUGGGGCACCCCGUUAUCCAGCAGUCCCAGGGCAGCCUGGUCCAUCCUUCAGCGGAUGGAGCCGUCAGCCUUGUUGGGAGGGAAGAGGAACCGAGGCAGAAUGGUCGAUGCCAACAUUUGCGUGCAUCCAGGUCUCUGACCAUUAUCCCCUGGUCUCAGCAGAACAGCAGCAGAGUAUUUAACAGCUUCAUUAAUGCCAGAGUAAUAAUUACGUACUGCAGGAGUGGCUAUCGCAUCAGGAAUUUUUGUGCCAGAACUGCAACUGCAUUCUGCAGAACUCGAGCAACAUUUGUAAAGCAGCAGCAGGCAGAAGAGUGGCCCCGGAGGCAGGACAAUCCCCACUGAGUGGUCCAGGGCUUUAGGAUGGUAUGCCUUUUUGCUUGGUUUCACUAUACAGUACCACAAACAGCUAUAUGAGCAUGGAGCGGGGAUAACUCACGUGCCUGGGGCUGGGGAGAGGAAAGGCUGCCUGAGCUGAUGCUGCCACCAACAGAAAUAUCUUUGGAACCGGGGCCAAGUAAUCAGGAGGUUACAAACCUGGCAAAAGGCAGUCUCCCAGGAUGGAUGUACACUUGAAGCCAUUCCGAUGUUUCAUGCUCCUGCAUGUGCUGCCUACUCGGAUAUACAAUUCCUUGGAGGCCCUUAACCCAACUGUGCCAUGUUUGAGCUGCUAUCUGUGAUGUCCAUCACUGGAGUGGAUGAAAACACAGACAUACGCUGGUCCACACCCAAUGAAUUACGGCUUUUCUUGCCCAGUUCGUUACCGAGACAGGCAGGACUUGGUGAGGAAGCAGAGGACAGAGGGACAGCUGAGUGGAGCCGGUUGCUCUGAAGGACCUAAGCUGGCCAUUGCCACCCACCCAGUGCUGCUGAGG